GAUGAACGCUGGCGGCGUGCCUAAUACAUGCAAGUCGAACGCUUCACAUAUGUGAAGAGUGGCGAACGGGUGAGUAAUACAUAAGUAACCUGGCCUUUACAGGGGGAUAACUAUUGGAAACGAUAGCUAAGACCGCAUAGGUGUGCAGAUCGCAUGAAGUGCACAUGAAAUAUGCUACGGCAUAGGUAGAGGAUGGACUUAUGGCGCAUUAGCUAGUUGGAGGGGUAACGGCCCACCAAGGCGACGAUGCGUAGCCGACCUGAGAGGGUGACCGGCCACACUGGGACUGAGACACGGCCCAGAUUCCUACGGGAGGCAGCAGUAGGGAAUUUUCGGCAAUGGGGGAAACCCUGACCGAGCAACGCCGCGUGAAGGAAGAAGUAAUUCGUUAUGUAAACUUCUGUCAUAGAGGAAGAACGGUGCGUGUAGGGAAUGACAUGCAAGUGACGGUACUCUAUAAGAAAACCACGGCUAACUACGUGCCAGCCGCCGCCGUAA
This 498-nucleotide ribosomal RNA is filed under the name uncultured bacterium. Its description in RNAcentral is "partial 16S ribosomal RNA". It matches the Rfam family "Bacterial small subunit ribosomal RNA", at positions 28 to 523 of the family's 1533-position model. The record is from RNAcentral.